This is a long non-coding RNA of Acanthopagrus latus (yellowfin seabream), 1849 nucleotides long. RefSeq lists it as uncharacterized. NCBI's taxonomy places the organism in Eukaryota, Metazoa, Chordata, Actinopteri, Spariformes, Sparidae. The record is from RefSeq and is a predicted model, not a curated record. The transcript has 3 exons.
CCGCAGCGUCGAGCCGCGCACAGGACGACAUGUUGCUUCCGGUCACAGCCUUCAGAAUAAAGGUCUGACCGAGUCUUACAGAAAGCCUGAGUGGUGCAGGAAGUAAUCAGAUACUCAGUCAUACUUGAGUAAAAGCAUCCAGGAUCAAUCAGUAUUCAGACACUGAGAGGCAGCAUGAGACCAGGAGAGUCUGAUCUGGUCUGCAGGAAACACCUGAACCAGUCACGGCUCCCCUGUAUCCGGUGUGGUGUGUGUGUGUGUUGACGCAGCUGUCAGAGUGAAGCAGCAGCUGGAUGAAUUAUCGUGUCUGUUGAUGUUUCAACACACAAAACGUCACAACAACACGUUUCCUCUCAGUGUGAGUGUUCAACACAACAGCCACAUUAUAUCAUAACACAUCAACACACAAAAUAAUUAACACGAUUCUCAUUUACACUGGAGACUGUGUGUGUGUGUGUGUGUGUGUGUGUGUGUGUGUGUGUGUGUGUGUGUGUGUGUGCGCGCGCGUGUUGUCCUGUCAUCAAACUGUGACACCAGCAGUGAAAAUCACAUGUGAGUAAAAUUAAAGAUACUGUGUUAAAUGUUGUGUAGUUACAUGUUACUGAAGGAUGAAAGUGACUCUGACAGAAGAAUUAAUGUUGAUCAGUUGAAACUUCACGUUUCUGCAGGUUCGGUUUCAUGCUGUGACGCUGUUCUCGUGUUCUGGUCCAGUUUAGGAACAGAAACAUGAGUUUGGGUCAGAAGAGAUCCGGUUCUGGGUGGAAACACCUGCUUCUGUCUCCAGACGGACGUUUUUACGUGUCAACAUUAUUAUUAAUGAAAGUCUGGAGAGGACGAUCCGGCUGAAGCUGCAUCCAACGAGUCCUGUGGUGGAAUCUACGUAUCAAACAUCCUGUGAUCACGUGCUCAUCGGAGGUAAACGGACUUUGCUUGAGUCAUUUUCUUCUCAAGCUACUUUCUAGAUAUUUACUCCAUUAGUUAGUUACAUCACAGGCUAAGAUAUUCAAAAACAAAACAAAGUUUUGAAUGUUUUGUUCUUGAUACAUUUUAAAUGUUUUUGAAAAAAAUCGUUUUAUGUUUAAUGCACUUUGCAAAUGUCAACUUUAAUAUAUGAUACACAAGAACACUUACUACCACUUAUUGUUAUUAUUAUUAUUAUCAUCAUUAUUAUCCAAAGUCUCUGGGGGGACGAUCCGGCUGAAGGUCAACAUGAUACAUUAAUAAAUAUCUGUAAUAUUAAUUUAUAAUAUAAUAAUAAAAUCCUGAGUCAGCUAUAACAGUUCAACAGUCACAGUGACAUUAAGUACUUUUACUUUGAAUACUUCAAGUACAUUUUCCUGAUUGUACUUUUCAAACAUAUUUUCAAUGCAGUACUUUUACUUGUAACAGUAUUUUGACAGUGUACUCGUAUAAAUAUGUGACCACAGUCAAAGUGCAGGAAGACAAACAGAAAUCAGCUGUUCCAGGUUUCAUUUGUUUAUUUUCUGUAAAAUAAUGUGAAGGUACAGUCUCUUUAAAAAUCUCUCCUGUUAGCUUCAGAAGCACCUCUGGUUUGAAAACAUGUUCAUAUGUACAACAACACACUCAACGUUCCCUGGUUAUUGAUUUAUUUAUGACAAGGUUCAAAUAAAAAUCUGAAUACAACAACAACAAAAAAGUCAAUUUAUUAUUCAAAUACAAAGCGAAACGACGCAGAGCGCUCAGUUCAUCCUCCACACGACCACUGACAAUAACGUUAAUAAUACGAGAAAUUAAUAUCAUACAUCAAUAGAAAAUAUGAAAAAAUAUGAAAUAUGGCCUUUAACUGAUCCCUAGUCUGCACACACACACACACACACACACACACACA